RNAcentral lists this ribosomal RNA (497 nucleotides) under uncultured bacterium. Its description in RNAcentral is "partial 16S ribosomal RNA". It matches the Rfam family "Bacterial small subunit ribosomal RNA", at positions 28 to 507 of the family's 1533-position model. The record is from RNAcentral.
GAUGAACGCUGGCGGCGUGCCUAAUACAUGCAAGUCGAGCGAACGGACUAGAAGCUUGCUUCUCUGAUGUUAGCGGCGGACGGGUGAGUAACACGUGGAUAACCUACCUAUAAGACUGGGAUAACUUCGGGAAACCGUAGCUAAUACCGGAUAAUAUUUUGAACCGCAUGGUUCAAAAGUGAAAGACGGUCUUGCUGUCACUUAUAGAUGGAUCCGCGCUGCAUUAGCUAGUUGGUAAGGUAACGGCUUACCAAGGCAACGAUGCAUAGCUGACCUGAGAGGGUGAUCGGCCACACUGGAACUGAGACACGGUCCAGACUCCUACGGGAGGCAGCAGUAGGGAAUCUUCCGCAAUGGGCGAAAGCCUGACGGAGCAACGCCGCGUGAGUGAUGAAGGUCUUCGGAUCGUAAAACUCUGUUAUUAGGGAAGAACAUAUGUGUAAGUAACUGUGCACAUCUUGACGGUACCUAAUCAGAAAGCCACGGCUAACUACGUG